UACGUAGGGGGCAAGCGUUGUCCGGAUUUAUUGGGCGUCAAGAGCGUGUAGGCGGCCAGGUAGGUCAGCUGUGAAAACUCGAGGCUCAACCUCGAGACGUCGGUUGAAACCACCUGGCUAGAGUCCGGAAGAGGAGAGUGGAAUUCCUGGUGUAGCGGUGAAAUGCGCAGAUAUCAGGAAGAACACCCGUGGCGAAGGCGGCUCUCUGGGACGGUACUGACGCUGAGACGCGAAAGCGUGGGGAGCGAACAGG
RNAcentral lists this ribosomal RNA (253 nucleotides) under uncultured bacterium. RNAcentral's name for it is "partial 16S ribosomal RNA". It matches the Rfam family "Bacterial small subunit ribosomal RNA", at positions 524 to 776 of the family's 1533-position model. The record is from RNAcentral.